CCUACGGGAGGCAGCAGUGGGGAAUAUUGGGCAAUGGGCGCAAGCCUGACCCAGCAACGCCGCGUGAAUGAAGAAGGCCUUCGGGUUGUAAACUUCUUUUGUUAGCGAAGAAUAGAUGUCGGUACAUGACGAAUAAGCCACGGCUAACUACGUGCCAGAAGACGCGGUAAUACGUAGGUGGCAAGCGUUGUACGGAUGUACUGGGGGUAAAGGGCGUGUAGCCGGGUUGACAAGUCAGAUGUGAAAGCCUGCGGCUUAACCGUAGAACUGCAUUUGAAACUGUGGAGCUUGAGUACUGGAGAGGCAGACAGAAUUCCUAGUGUAGCGGUGAAAUGCGUAGAUAUUAGGAGGAACACCAGAGGCGAAGGCGGUCUGCUGGACAGCAACUGACGGUGAGGCGCGAAAGCGUGGGGAGCAAACAGGAUUAGAUACCCCUGUAGUC
RNAcentral lists this ribosomal RNA (442 nucleotides) under uncultured bacterium. Its description in RNAcentral is "partial 16S ribosomal RNA". It matches the Rfam family "Bacterial small subunit ribosomal RNA", at positions 338 to 795 of the family's 1533-position model. The record is from RNAcentral.